UCGUCGGUUUGGAUGAACAGGGUAUUAACUCAAAAUUUACGAUUUUUCACCUAAAAAUACAGUCCUACUUAAAAUCACGCGAUCUUUCUAACGAACGUGGUUGCAUAACGAUAUGACGUCAAACUGGCGGGGGUGCGGGGUAGUAUCUUCGUCUCUUUCGCGCUUUUGCACGUGUUGGUUUGAACAACACUGUCGUAUUCAGUCUUACUCGCGGAGUUGUGAUGAAAGGACGUCGUUCGUUUGUGAUAUACAGUUUUAACCUUGAAAAACGCAGUGUUCAUUAAAAGAAUGAUUUCGCAAAGAGUUACCUUAAUCAGAAACGCUGUUAAAGAUAAUCCAAGAGAGGGAGAAUCCGCAUUAGUUUCUUAUGAUGAGACCGUGAAUAUUAUGUCUACUCAAGCGACUAAUCAAGAAUGGUGCCCGAUGAUAGUCCUGAAGAACCAAUAGCUUCAUCUUCUACUUUCAAUGACACAUCUAACAACACAACAGAAGCCAAUCAAUUAGAGGAGAUUGACUCUGAUUCGUCAUCAUUGUCCUCGGUCCAUCAAGUCGAAAAUUAUGGUAAAGUUCUUGAAAGUACACAAAAUCUGAUAAUUCUAGAAACAAUGAACACUAAACAGUUAAAUGCUUAAAUAUAUAUUUCUUCCAGAACCAUGUUUUCCCGGAGUUAACUCGGAUGAUAGUCCGAGUAGAUAGAUUAUAGAUAGAUAGAAAAAAAGAGAAAGACUUCCUCUAAUCCUAGUCGAAUUAAACUAAGACUAAAUUUAACAAAGGUUAAAACUAAGAAUUAAGAAUAAAGUUAUAUAGUAAUAAGUAAACCAUAAAAAUACUGAUACUACUAAGAGCCAAAGACCCCAACGGUCUUUAGUGUGCUCAAAAGUGUAGCUAGUGAUUUAAAUUUGUUUAUUUAAAUACUAAGAAUGAUGUACACUAA
Molecule: long non-coding RNA, 934 nt
Organism: Aricia agestis (brown argus)
Lineage: Eukaryota; Metazoa; Arthropoda; Insecta; Lepidoptera; Lycaenidae
Exons: 4
Source: RefSeq, a predicted model, not a curated record